This 800-nucleotide ribosomal RNA is filed under the name Panulirus penicillatus. RNAcentral describes it as "partial 16S rRNA". The record is from RNAcentral. Lineage: Eukaryota; Metazoa; Arthropoda; Malacostraca; Decapoda; Palinuridae.
AAUUUUAGUAUGUCUAUAUUUAAGUGAGAUUUAAGAUGAGGUUAAGAAAAAUAGUUUUAAAAGUUGGGUCCUCAGUAUCGUGAAGGGGGGUUUUGCAGACUUUAGCUUAAAAGUACCGUUAGGGAAAACUGAAAUAAAUUUGAAAAUUGUUAUUAACUUGAAGUAGAAGUGAAAGUUCGUACCUUUUGUAUCAGGGUGAAUUUAAAUGUUCCAAUUAUAUAGGCGAUCCCGAAAGAAGAAUAGCUAAGGACUUAUGCUUGUCCUGGUGGUAAACAGGUCUAUAAUAAAUCUUUAGUGGUGAAAUGCUAGUCGAGUCUUCUAAUAUCUGGUUGUUCCUAAAAUAAAUUUAAUUUAGCCUAAAUCUUUAAAAAUGCUGGUUUAGUUAAAUAGUCGGAGGGAAAAGCUUCUGAUUAAGUAUCUUGAUAUAAGUAUAAAUGUUUAAUAAUUGGGCAAUUUUGACUAGGCUUAGAAGUAGCCAUGUUUAUAAAGUGUCUUAACUAAGAUUAAGUCUAGGUAAAAUAUUUUUAUAUUCUUUUUCUAUAAUAAGGAACUUUAAUUAAUAACUUAAAUAAUUUAGUAAUAAUGAUUCUAUUAGUAUAAUUUGUCUGUGUGAGAUUAAUCAAAUCUGGAAUAAAAAUUAUUCUUUGUUAGUAGAGCCAAGAUAUAGUAAAGGAAUUCGGCAAAAAAGAUUUCCGCCUGUUUAUCAAAAACAUGUCUUCGUGAAUUUCAUGUGAAGUCUAGCCUGCCCAGUGACGUCGAAGUUUAACGGCCGCGGUAGCAUGACCGUGCUAAGGUAGCAU